This 253-nucleotide ribosomal RNA is filed under the name uncultured bacterium. RNAcentral's name for it is "partial 16S ribosomal RNA". It matches the Rfam family "Bacterial small subunit ribosomal RNA", at positions 524 to 776 of the family's 1533-position model. The record is from RNAcentral.
UACAGAGGGGGCGAGCGUUGUUCGGAAUUACUGGGCGUAAAGGGCUCGUAGGCGGUUCGUCACGUCGGGAGUGAAAACUCGGGGCUUAACCCCGAGCCUGCUUCCGAUACGGGCAGACUAGAGGUAGGCAGGGGAGAGCGGAACUCCUGGUGUAGCGGUGGAAUGCGCAGAUAUCAGGAAGAACACCGGUGGCGAAGGCGGCUCUCUGGGACGGUACUGACGCUGAGACGCGAAAGCGUGGGGAGCGAACAGG